UUCUACAGCGCGAACAGAAUGCAUUAGUUCGCAUUCGCUGGGGAAGCCUCGGGAGCUACUGCCACAGCUUUCUUGUGUAGAGGAGCACCUUCCACGUCGCUUACAAGUUUUCUUGGGGCCACCUUGUCAGGAGCAGAAUGAGACACCAGCAGAGCGCCCUGAAAUUUCUUCUGCGCUGCAGCGUUGCAGCUGGCAUUAUCGUCUGCCUCUCAACAGGUUUUGAACUACUUCUUGAAAGAGCAGAUUCUGGAGCUGAGAAAAACGCUCAAGUGGGUUCAACAGGGCAAGUAUACGUGGACUGCCUAAGCAAGAAUGGUACGCCAAUUAACGAUGGAGGGAAAUGUGCCUUGAUGGUUGUCUUCGAAGAAAGGAAAGAGAACGUUAAACAGACGUGUAUGGAAGGAGUUUGCAGGAAUGGCACCUGUACCAACAUCAAUAAAACCGACUGCUCUAAUAACAAAUGAAAACAAACGGCGCGAAGGAGUCCAGUACGCCAUUUCAAUAAAAGCUCUUGUAAGGGCGUUGUUGUGUUUACUGAA
RNA transcript from Rhipicephalus sanguineus (brown dog tick), 539 nucleotides. RefSeq lists it as uncharacterized. Lineage: Eukaryota; Metazoa; Arthropoda; Arachnida; Ixodida; Ixodidae. The record is from RefSeq and is a predicted model, not a curated record. The transcript is spliced from 6 exons.